GACGAACGCUGGCGGCGUGCCUAAUACAUGCAAGUAGAACGCUGAAGGAGGAGCUUGCUCUUCUGGAUGAGUUGCGAACGGGUGAGUAACGCGUAGGUAACCUGCCUGGUAGCGGGGGAUAACUAUUGGAAACGAUAGCUAAUACCGCAUAAGAGUAGAUGUUGCAUGACAUUUACUUAAAAGGUGCAAUUGCAUCACUACCAGAUGGACCUGCGUUGUAUUAGCUAGUUGGUGGGGUAACGGCUUACCAAGGCGACGAUACAUAGCCGACCUGAGAGGGUGAUCGGCCACACUGGGACUGAGACACGGCCCAGACUCCUACGGGAGGCAGCAGUAGGGAAUCUUCGGCAAGGGACGGAAGUCUGACCGAGCAACGCCGCGUGAGUGAAGAAGGUUUUCGGAUCGUAAAGCUCUGUUGUAAGAGAAGAACGAGUGUGAGAGUGGAAAGUUCACACUGUGACGGUAUCUUACCAGAAAGGGACGGCUAACUACGUG
Molecule: ribosomal RNA, 495 nt
Filed under: uncultured bacterium
Lineage: Bacteria
Description: partial 16S ribosomal RNA
Rfam family: Bacterial small subunit ribosomal RNA
Source: RNAcentral